CGUUGGCCCAAUUGAUUGAUGGUGCUUGCACCUGAUUGAUUUUGGUCGCCAACGAGUGGCGGACGGGUGAGUAACACGUAGGUAACCUGCCCAGAAGCGGGGGACAACAUUUGGAAACAGAUGCUAAUACCGCAUAACAGCGUUGUUCGCAUGAACAACGCUUAAAAGAUGGCUUCUCGCUAUCACUUCUGGAUGGACCUGCGGUGCAUUAGCUUGUUGGUGGGGUAACGGCCUACCAAGGCGAUGAUGCAUAGCCGAGUUGAGAGACUGAUCGGCCACAAUGGGACUGAGACACGGCCCAUACUCCUACGGGAGGCAGCAGUAGGGAAUCUUCCACAAUGGGCGCAAGCCUGAUGGAGCAACACCGCGUGAGUGAAGAAGGGUUUCGGCUCGUAAAGCUCUGUUGUUAAAGAAGAACACGUAUGAGAGUAACUGUUCAUACGUUGACGGUAUUUAACCAGAAAGUCACGGCUAACUACGUGCCAGCAGCCGCGGUAAUACGUAGGUGGCAAGCGUUAUCCGGAUUUAUUGGGCGUAAAGAGAGUGCAGGCGGUUUUCUAAGUCUGAUGUGAAAGCCUUCGGCUUAACCGGAGAAGUGCAUCGGAAACUGGAUAACUUGAGUGCAGAAGAGGGUAGUGGAACUCCAUGUGUAGCGGUGGAAUGCGUAGAUAUAUGGAAGAACACCAGUGGCGAAGGCGGCUACCUGGUCUGCAACUGACGCUGAGACUCGAAAGCAUGGGUAGCGAACAGGAUUAGAUACCCUGGUAGUCCAUGCCGUAAACGAUGAGUGCUAGGUGUUGGAGGGUUUCCGCCCUUCAGUGCCGGAGCUAACGCAUUAAGCACUCCGCCUGGGGAGUACGACCGCAAGGUUGAAACUCAAAGGAAUUGACGGGGGCCCGCACAAGCGGUGGAGCAUGUGGUUUAAUUCGAAGCUACGCGAAGAACCUUACCAGGUCUUGACAUCUUGCGCCAACCCUAGAGAUAGGGCGUUUCCUUCGGGAACGCAAUGACAGGUGGUGCAUGGUCGUCGUCAGCUCGUGUCGUGAGAUGUUGGGUUAAGUCCCGCAACGAGCGCAACCCUUGUUACUAGUUGCCAGCAUUAAGUUGGGCACUCUAGUGAGACUGCCGGUGACAAACCGGAGGAAGGUGGGGACGACGUCAGAUCAUCAUGCCCCUUAUGACCUGGGCUACACACGUGCUACAAUGGACGGUACAACGAGUCGCGAACUCGCGAGGGCAAGCAAAUCUCUUAAAACCGUUCUCAGUUCGGACUGCAGGCUGCAACUCGCCUGCACGAAGUCGGAAUCGCUAGUAAUCGCGGAUCAGCAUGCCGCGGUGAAUACGUUCCCGGGCCUUGUACACACCGCCCGUCACACCAUGAGAGUUUGUAACACCCAAAGUCGGGGGGUAACCUUUUAGG
This 1420-nucleotide ribosomal RNA is filed under the name Lactobacillus sp. RNAcentral describes it as "bacterial SSU rRNA". It matches the Rfam family "Bacterial small subunit ribosomal RNA". Lineage: Bacteria; Bacillati; Bacillota; Bacilli; Lactobacillales; Lactobacillaceae. The record is from RNAcentral.